UACGAAGGGGGCUAGCGUUGCUCGGAAUCACUGGGCGUAAAGGGUGCGUAGGCGGGUCUUUAAGUCAGGGGUGAAAUCCUGGAGCUCAACUCCAGAACUGCCUUUGAUACUGAGGAUCUUGAGUUCGGGAGAGGUGAGUGGAACUGCGAGUGUAGAGGUGAAAUUCGUAGAUAUUCGCAAGAACACCAGUGGCGAAGGCGGCUCACCUAGCCCGAUACUGACGCUGAGGCACGAAAGCGUGGGAGCAAACAGG
Molecule: ribosomal RNA, 253 nt
Filed under: uncultured bacterium
Lineage: Bacteria
Description: partial 16S ribosomal RNA
Rfam family: Bacterial small subunit ribosomal RNA
Source: RNAcentral